AAGUCGUAACAAGGUUUCCGUAGGUGAACCUGCGGAAGGAUCAUUAACACGUAUCCACGUAUCCACCCCUGUGCACCUGUUUCCUCUCCCUGCGGCUUCACAUGAGUCGGUAAAACGCGUCAGCAUUUUGGAUAGGGCCUUCGGGCCGGUGCUGCGCGUACAAUAGAGGCAUUCGUGUCUCUGACGAUUGGAGUGAAGCUCGCAGGCAACCCGCUCACUACAGAAGCCUCUAUCCAAGGCCGAUGCAGUGGGUACAUUAUACACCAUUUUCACCUUUUUUGCUAGUUGAUUUUUUAAUGUUGCAUUCAUGUUCGCAUGCAUGCACACGUUUCUUAAUUGAACGAAAAAACAUAACUUUUAGCAAUGGAUAUCUCGGUUCUC
RNAcentral lists this unclassified non-coding RNA (381 nucleotides) under fungal sp. Its description in RNAcentral is "partial internal transcribed spacer region". The stretch from base 1 to 46 matches the Rfam family "Eukaryotic small subunit ribosomal RNA", at positions 1786 to 1831 of the family's 1831-position model. The record is from RNAcentral. Lineage: Eukaryota; Fungi.